Molecule: ribosomal RNA, 398 nt
Filed under: uncultured bacterium
Lineage: Bacteria
Description: bacterial SSU rRNA
Rfam family: Bacterial small subunit ribosomal RNA
Source: RNAcentral
AUUGAACGCUGGCGGCAUGCCUUACACAUGCAAGUCGAACGGCAGCACGGGAGCAAUCCUGGUGGCGAGUGGCGAACGGGUGAGUAAUAUAUCGGAACGUGCCCGGUCGUGGGGGAUAACGUAGCGAAAGCUACGCUAAUACCGCAUACGAUCUACGGAUGAAAGCGGGGGAUCGCAAGACCUCGCGCGAUUGGAGCGGCCGAUAUCAGAUUAGGUAGUUGGUGAGGUAAAGGCUCACCAAGCCGACGAUCUGUAGCUGGUCUGAGAGGACGACCAGCCGCACUGGGACUGAGACACGGCCCAGACUCCUACGGGAGGCAGCAGUGGGGAAUUUUGGACAAUGGGCGCAAGCCUGAUCCAGCAAUGCCGCGUGCAGGAUGAAGGCCUCGGUUGGUAAC